This 71-nucleotide transfer RNA is filed under the name Eubucco bourcierii (red-headed barbet). Its description in RNAcentral is "tRNA-Val". Lineage: Eukaryota; Metazoa; Chordata; Aves; Piciformes; Ramphastidae. The record is from RNAcentral.
CAAAACGUAGCUUAACACAAGCACUCAGCUUACACCUGAAAGAUACCUGCUUGCCACCCAGGUCGUUUUGA